UAAGGAAUAUUCCGCAAUGGGCGAAAGCCUGACGGAGCGACGCCGCGUGAAGGAGGAAGCCCUUCGGGGUGUAAACUUCUUUUCUUUGGGAUGACACGUCCCCUCAUACGGGACUAGGACAGUACCAGAGGAAUAAGCCUCGGCUAACUACGUGCCAGCAGCCGCGGUAAUACGUAGGAGGCGAGCGUUGUCCGGAUUUACUGGGCGUAAAGCGCGCGCAGGCGGCACACUAAGUACGAUGUGAAAUCUCCCUGCUCAACGGGGAGGGAGCAUAGUAAACUGGUGAGCUAGAGGACGGUAGAGGGGGGUGGAAUUGCUGGUGUAGCGGUGAAAUGCGUAGAGAUCAGCAGGAACACCCGUGGCGAAGGCGGCCCCCUGGGCCGAACCUGACGCUGAGGCGCGAAGGCUAGGGGAGCGAACGGGAUUAGAUACCCCCGUAGUCC
RNAcentral lists this ribosomal RNA (443 nucleotides) under uncultured bacterium. Its description in RNAcentral is "bacterial SSU rRNA". It matches the Rfam family "Bacterial small subunit ribosomal RNA", at positions 355 to 796 of the family's 1533-position model. The record is from RNAcentral.